CCCAGUGUCCCUAUAUGUCCCAGUGUCCACAUGUCUAUGUCCACAACUGUCCCCAUGUCUCCCAGUGUCCCCAAGUGUCUGUCUCCCAGCCAGUGUCCCCUAGUCUCCCAGUGUCUGUGUUCCCAUGUCUGUGUCCCUAGUGUCUUAGUGACCCCAUGUCUCCCAGUGUCUGUGUCCCUAGUGUCUCAGUGUCCCCAUUUCUCCCAGUUUCCCUAAAUGUCUCAAUG
This is a non-coding RNA of Pelobates cultripes (western spadefoot toad), 227 nucleotides long. Lineage: Eukaryota; Metazoa; Chordata; Amphibia; Anura; Pelobatidae. The record is from the annotation of a GenBank genome assembly.